UGAGGAAUAUUGGUCAAUGGGCGGGAGCCUGAACCAGCCAAGCCGCGUGAGGGAUGAAGGCCCUAUGGGUCGUAAACCUCUUUUGUCAGGGAACAAAAGCGAGUAUGUAUACUAGUCUGAGUGUACCUGAAGAAAAAGCAUCGGCUAACUCCGUGCCAGCAGCCGCGGUAAUACGGAGGAUGCGAGCGUUAUCCGGAUUUAUUGGGUUUAAAGGGUGCGUAGGCGGCGGUGCAAGUCAGCGGUAAAAGCCCGGGGCUCAACCCCGGCGAGCCGUUGAAACUGCAGUGCUAGAGAAGGCGAGAGGUACGCGGAAUGCGCAGUGUAGCGGUGAAAUGCUUAGAUAUUGCGCAGAACUCCGAUUGCGAAGGCAGCGUACUGGCGCCUGACUGACGCUGAGGCACGAAAGCGUGGGUAUCGAACAGGAUUAGAUACC
Molecule: ribosomal RNA, 433 nt
Filed under: uncultured bacterium
Lineage: Bacteria
Description: bacterial SSU rRNA
Rfam family: Bacterial small subunit ribosomal RNA
Source: RNAcentral